RNAcentral lists this ribosomal RNA (5644 nucleotides) under Triticum aestivum (bread wheat). RNAcentral describes it as "partial small subunit ribosomal RNA". Lineage: Eukaryota; Viridiplantae; Streptophyta; Magnoliopsida; Poales; Poaceae. The record is from RNAcentral.
CUGCAGGCCAUCCAGAGCGGGCAGCAGCACAACCAGAGAAAAAGGAGAAGCGACAGGGCGGGCAGCAGCGUCUCCUCCCCCCGCCCUCAUCCCUAUUGCCGCCGCCGGGUCCUCUCCUCUCCCUAUCGGUGCGAGUGGGCGGGUCGCGGCUUGCGGAGAGCGAGGAGAGGGAGGAGACAGAUGCGUGAGGAGGAGGAGGCCACGGCCGUCGGCUCCUCUCCUCUCCCCGUCGGCGCCAGCGCGCUGGUCGCGGGGAGUGAGGAGAGCGAGGAGAGGGAGGGGGAAGAUGCGUGAGGAGGAGGACCAGGCGGUGGCGCGGCAGCCAGAUCCGAGGCGCGUGGGCGCGGAGGCAGCCGCGGUGGGCUCCGGCCUCUUCUUCACGCACGGCGGCAGGAGCAGCUCCACCUCUCCACUCCCCCACGCGUGAGCCCUCCACAACCCCACCCACCACACCGAGGCGGCGUCCAGAGGCGGUCGGCGGUGGCGCAGGUGGUCUCCCUCCCGCGCCCUUCUCUUUCCUCUCCUCGACGGCGCCGGUGAGAUCCAUCCUGUGCCUUCCCUCCUCUCGCGUCCCCCCUCCCCCCACAGCGGCCCUCCCUGUUGAUGGAAUCCAUCUCUUCUAUGCUCUUCUUCUUCCCCUUCCCUGCCUCCCCGGUUCUCAAUGAUCCCAUCUAUUUGUACAUACUAAGCUAGCUCAACCACACAGGCAGCUUGAUUGGUUCCUAUACUAGCAACAGUACGUUUGUGUCUAGGCGGAACCUCCUGUACGUGCGAUUUCGUGGAGUCAUCUAGCUCUAGAUAGAUGCCACUGGACUCCCAGGUUCUUUCCUGUGUAGGAGCUUACUAAAUUUUGUAGUUUGCAAUGGCUGUUUGGGUGACAUCUCAGAUUCCCUUUGAGGUCCUGUAUGCGCCUUGUUCAACUUUGGUUCAAAUUCAUAUCAUAGUUAGUCCUGCUGCAUGAUGGAACUAGCUAAGGUGGUUGUUGUUUUGCUACCUAAUGGGCACAAUCUUUUAAUCUUUUUCGUUUCCAGGUUCUGAUAGAUGAGUGAUGACUAAUGGUUGAUGCAAAGGAGGAGGCGUACUGAUGGAAGUUGGCAGCAAAAUCAGGACCUCUCCGUCCUCGAGCCCUUCUUCUCCUCUCUCCGCGCUGUCUCGCCUCCCCUGCUCUCGCACCGCCACCUUCCCUGCCCGGCGCUCGAGGCGCCAUGAUUUUGGAUCGGGCGGAUAUCUUCACCAGGAGAGUAGGAGCACUUGCUGUUAAUAUGAACGAUCUCUCACUAAGUUUUUGUUAUGGCGUUGUGUGCCGAUUCAUGAUUUAAACACGCAAAAUGUCUGGUUUGCAUAUUUGUGCCUAGCCCUGUUACCAGCAGUGUAUUUUUUGCUGUAAGAAAGACAACAAUGCUUUAUUUCUUUGACUUUUUGACCGUGUCUAAUUUCUGGUAAAAGAGAGGAAUUUCAGAGAGAUAGACAACCUGAAGAGCUUUGAAUGGUUGUUCGAGUGUGCCGCCAGCCUCCUCGCCGCUGCUGUUGCGUAGCUGGCACCGGUGUGUGGCUACUGCCGAGAUAAGCGCAGUUUACUCCAGGUUUGGUGAUGGUGUUGAACAACACCUUAACUGUGGCCAAGGAAUUUAGUAGCAUUGUGGGAUCAUAAACCAGUUUUUCUGUUCUCUGUGCUCACAUAGUAAGAACAUGCUUGCAAGUUCUUUUCCUUAGGUGUAAUUUCUUUUGCUGAGAUAGAUUAAGCCUGGGUCGAGGUGGCUGCUGUGUGCCGGUUGCCAGUACUUGUUUGUUGUAAUGUCUUACCCAGUGAGAUUUCUUUUAUUCUUGCCUAUUUUCAGAGGUUCUGCUUGAAGAUUCUCUAAUCACUUUCUUUGGAACUUUUUGCUGAGAUAUGCUUCCAGGUUACUUCAAUGUUACCAGACUUAAAAUGUACUAUCUAGCAUACUAGCACGUGUGUAUAUGAUGCCUCCUUUUAUCCUUGAAUGUAAGACACAUGGUGUUUUGUUCCAUUGUUAUGCUUAACGGAAGUGAUGUUCUAUUAUCAUAUUCAAAACUAUAGCUCUUUGUUUGCAGUAUCUCGGAGGGAGCAAUAUUUUGAUACUUGCUUUAUAGGAAUUCUCUUUCUUUGCCUAGAAUUUGUGAUUUAUGGCUGAUGUCAAUUCCACCUUUGUAGGUGUUUCUCAAUUAUUACUAAUGUUGAAACUGCAGAGGAGCAGGAGAUGAGGAGGGCCCCACUUGGUGUACAAUGCUGAAUGAUGCGGCAGUUAGACCGGGAGAUGAGGAGCGCGGCACUGGGUGUACGAAGGAUUAGUAGGAAGAAUGUUAAUCACAGUGGGUGAAAAGAAAAUGCGAGCUCGGCUGAUUGCAUACUGUUUGGUUGAGUUGUUUUGUCCUAAAGAUACAAUCAAGCUGAAGAUUUCUUUUGUAUGGAAAUUCACCAUGGGAAUCGAAAUAAUGGUACUCUGCACAGCCUUUACUUUCUUUCAUCGAUUCUUCAUUCUACAAGUCACACCUUUUCUAUUUGGUAAAAGAAGAGUGAGCUCAUGCUUGAACUUCCACUAUAUAUGUUAACACUUGGAUACUGUAUCAAUCCAGUAAUCAUCUGAUCCUUCAUUGUUUUCCCUUGCAUUGCCUCCUUUAACUCUUCUGGACCUUUGAAAAGAAUGAUUUUUCGAUUACAUAAUGUAUUAUGUUUUGUUUCGUUGUCGAGAGGUAGAUGGUAAAGUAGGCUGGUAUUUUCAUUUUGUUCAUAUGCAGAUAUUUGAUAUAAGUGAAUAUAUACCCUUUGGUAGGUGAAUGUGCUCUCCGUUAAUAUCACUGAUAUAUUUGAGCUUCAGAGAAGGAUAUCUAUGCCAUUUUGUUUUUGUUUUUUGAACAAAAGAGUGUUGUAUGUGUAUCGUUAAGGGGAUGAACCAGCAAAGUUACCUACGCAAUUUAGCAGGAUGUGGCUGAUACGUACAGAGUGGUUUACUUAGGUUUGGUGUUACUGCUAUCUCUUUCGUUGUAAAACUGCAGAGCAGCAGAGUUUAUAGAUUUAUCGACCAUGCUUUUGGUGCCAGUAGUUUUGUAUGUAAGAUGUAGCUGUUGUGCAGCUCCAUGUGUCUGUGUGAUCUGAUGUAUAGAUAUAACAUAACAUUCUAAAAUUUAUAGUUAUUCUCUAUAUAUGAGAAAGCAUGAAAGAACUGUGUAUUAGGGUAAAUAAUCUUUUCUGCUGUUUGAUAAAACAGUUAGGCGGCUACCCUGUCAUAUAUUUUGAUUCUCCUUUGACGAAAUUCCUAUCCUUGAAUGCCAUUUUCUCCAUGGUUUUUAUGUUUUAUGUUGUUCACUACAUGAUACUGAAUUAACAGUUACACGAAAGUUUAGCGAACACUUUUCUAAGAGAAGCCUCUUCCCGCACAUGGAUGCUGAUCAUGAUGAGCUACCAAUCAGUACAGGAGAUGGGACUACCAGUGUCACGACCCUCUUUAUCAAGGGCGUCGACAACAGGGCUACACUCACAAUGAACUAGAGCAGCUUCUUCCAUAAGGCAAACAUGAAGAAAGGGUGUACAUAUGCUUUCACCUUCAAGUGCACCUCCAAGGGUCUUUGCAUGAUGUCUAUCCAAUCUAAGCAGGUCACAGUAGUCCUUUGCUACGUAACUUGGUAUUACUAUAAGUACCUAUUGAGACUUUUAUAUCUGGCAUCAUUUUGGAUCUUAUUAAAAAAAAUUAUGAUAAUCCUGUCCGUAUGACUAUUAUCAAUCCAUACUAAUUUUCAUAUGUUUCCUUCCGUGUCUACAUAUUUUGAUGCACACUCUUUCAAUAUUUGGCUUGCUCUUGGCCUUUGCGCCAUGGGCGCAACUGGUCAUCUAGUACCAUGAAAGGAUGCAGAUUCUAUGAAGAAACCCGAACUGUUGAUGGGGUUGUACAUCCAACAUACAAAUCUGCAUGUUAUGCUCUUGGGCUACUUAAUGACGACAAGGAGUGGGAUGACUGCAUCAAGGAAGCAUCCCAUUGGGCCUCUGCUCCUCAAAUGCGCCAACUUUUCUAUACGAUACUUUGAUUUUGCAAGGUAACGGAUCCUGCAAAGUUGUGGCAAACAAACUGGGAAUUACUAUCUGAGGACAUCCAACGUUGGCAAAGAAGAAUACUCAAUUUUCAGGCCCUAGAACUCAACUCAGCGCAAAUAAAGAGGCUCCUCUUGGCAGAGAUGGAACACCUGUUGACCAAAGGUGGUAAGUCCCUCAAAGAUUUUCCAGGAAUGCCACUACCAGAUAGUUCAAUUCUUCAAGAUAUAAAUAAUAGAUUAGUAAACGAGGAACUAAACUAAGAUAAAGAUUCAUUAAGAAUAGAGCACACAGAGUUACUGCAAAAGCUAAAUCAAGAUCAGAGGAUGGCUUUUGCUGUUAUAAUAGAAUCAGGUAAUAGCAGUCUUGGAAAAUUGAUUUUCGUUGACGGAUAUGGCAGAACUGGAAAGACAUUUUUGUGGAAAGCAGUCACAAGAAAAUUAAGAUCUGGAGGAAAAAUAGUUCUAGGCUUCUAGCAGUAGCUUCAAGUGGUACAACAACACUUCUUUUACAGGGUGGAAGAACAGCUCAUUCAAGAUUUCACAUUCCGCUCAAGAUCACUAACGAGUCGACAUGCAACAUCAAGCAAGGAACAUUUCUCGCGAAACUAAUAAAGAAAACUUCACUGAUAAUAUGGGAUGAAGAACCUAUGACACCCAAGCACUGUUUUGAGGCACUAGACAAGAGUUUGAGAGACAUACUUCGAUUCACAAAUGAGGAUGCUGAGCAUAGACUGUUUGGAGGAAUGACGGUAGUCUUGGGAGGUGACUUCAGGCGAAUCCUACCAGUUAUUCCAAAGGGGGAAAGGGAACAUAUCAUUUCUGCAUCUGUAAAGAGAUCCUAAAUAUGCGUCUGAAUUCAUCCGAGUUUCUAAAUAGUCUAACAUUUUUUGGAAUACCAGACCAUGAACUGAGGCUGAAAGUAGGAUUACCAGUAAUGCUUACGACUAUGAGUAACUUCAAUCAAAGUGCAGGACUUUGCAAUGGGACAAGACUAACAAUAACACAGCUAGAGAAGCGUUUCAUCGAAGGCCAGGUCAUAACAGGUACUAACAUUGGCGACAAAGUUUACAUCCCACGAAUUAUUAUGUCACCAAGUGAUUCAGAAUGGCCUUUCAUUCUGAAAAGGAGACAAUACCCAAUAUCAGUGUGCUUUGCUAUGACUAUAAACAAACGUCAGGGGCAAUCUCUCAAAAAGGUUGGACUCUACUUACAAAGGCAAGUGUUCACACAGCUCUAUGUUGCAAUGUCAAGGGUUACCAGCAGAAAUGGAUUGCGGAUACUCAUACCAGAUGAAGAGCGUCGAUCCGACAAGGUUGCAGAAAACAUUGUUUUCAAGGAUAUAUUAUAGAUAUUUGUUUUUCAAUAGCUAGAAUUACAGCAGGUACAACCAUUCUUAUAUGACUAAAUAUAAUGUGUUGAAGACAUAGCAGCCUUAUCUUUUUUAAAUUGAAUUUUUAAAAUUGUUUUAAAUAGUUGUCUCUGAAAUAUUUUAUUUGUCACCAAGGUACUUCUCUCUGCAUUUACAGGCAAACAAAAAUAUUGGGGUAAGGGCUCACAACUGAUUUCACAAAAUCAAUAUCAGUUAUAUAUGUAUAUG